CCCGUGUGGUACGUAAUGCUGCUCCCAGACAGACAGCCCUACAUCCUCAAUGGAGAUGACGCUAGUGCUUGAAGGCGAUGUUUUUCCCGCGGACUGCGUGGCUGGUGAGAUGGUAACGCCGAGGCGGGGAGCAGCUUCACAGCUCACUGCCCUCACCCGAGCAACCGCCUGAGAGCGACGUGCCAAAGCCCGGCGGUAGCCCGGUGCCUGCUGCAUCGCUGCAAACGGUGGGAGCAGCGCGCCCACCCGCUGCGGGGGCUCCUCGGGGACCCACCGCCUGCCAGCUUCCCUCUGCCAUCCUCUGCGGCGGCCUGUCCCCACGUACACGUGUCUGGGAAAGUGCCAAGAUCACAAUCAAAAGGGAGUCACCAAUAAGGAUUUGGUGUACAGCUAAGCAAACUACCUGUGGAGAAAGCUCUGAACAAAACAGGGAAUUGUGUACCAUGUAACCAGACUGCUAUAAACCUUCAGCUGCAGACCACUGACAGGAGUCUAUGGACCACCACUUGGGUGAACCUCUGCUUUAAACCGUUAAAUGAUUCAACAUUUGUGUUAUCCUGAAGGGGAGGAUAAAGAAACUGGCCACCAAGAUGGUAAUCACUAGUGGAAAUGAAGAAGAUAAAGGCAG
Molecule: long non-coding RNA, 628 nt
Filed under: Strigops habroptila (Kakapo)
Lineage: Eukaryota; Metazoa; Chordata; Aves; Psittaciformes; Psittacidae
Description: lncRNA (ENSSHBG00005011998.1)
Source: RNAcentral